This 464-nucleotide ribosomal RNA is filed under the name Vreelandella stevensii. RNAcentral's name for it is "partial 16S ribosomal RNA". It matches the Rfam family "Bacterial small subunit ribosomal RNA", at positions 339 to 795 of the family's 1533-position model. The record is from RNAcentral. Lineage: Bacteria; Pseudomonadati; Pseudomonadota; Gammaproteobacteria; Oceanospirillales; Halomonadaceae.
CCACGGGUGGCAGCAGUGGGGAAUAUUGGACAAUGGGCGAAAGCCUGAUCCAGCCAUGCCGCGUGUGUGAAGAAGGCCUUCGGGUUGUAAAGCACUUUCAGUGGGGAAGAAAGCCUUGGGGCUAAUACCCUCGAGGAAGGACAUCACCCACAGAAGAAGCACCGGCUAACUCCGUGCCAGCAGCCGCGGUAAUACGGAGGGUGCGAGCGUUAAUCGGAAUUACUGGGCGUAAAGCGCGCGUAGGCGGUCUGAUAAGCCGGUUGUGAAAGCCCCGGGCUCAACCUGGGAACGGCAUCCGGAACUGUCAGGCUAGAGUGCAGGAGAGGAAGGUAGAAUUCCCGGUGUAGCGGUGAAAUGCGUAGAGAUCGGGAGGAAUACCAGUGGCGAAGGCGGCCUUCUGGACUGACACUGACGCUGAGGUGCGAAAGCGUGGGUAGCAAACAGGAUUAGAUACCCGGGUAGUC